CAGCAGCCGCGGUAAUACGUAGGGUGCGAGCGUUGAUCGGAAUUACUGGGCGUAAAGCGUGCGCAGGCGGUUGUGUAAGACAGGUGUGAAAUCCCCGGGCUUAACCUGGGAACUGCGCUUGUGACUGCACAGCUAGAGUAUGGCAGAGGGGGGUGGAAUUCCACGUGUAGCAGUGAAAUGCGUAGAGAUGUAGAGGAACACCGAUGGCGAAGGCAGCCCCCUGGGCCAAUACUGACGCUCAUGCACGAAAGCGUGGGGAGCAAACAGGAUUAGAUACCCCCGUAGUCCCUGUCUCUUAUAC
Molecule: ribosomal RNA, 301 nt
Filed under: uncultured bacterium
Lineage: Bacteria
Description: partial 16S ribosomal RNA
Rfam family: Bacterial small subunit ribosomal RNA
Source: RNAcentral